UGCUUUACACAUGCAAGUCGAACGGUAACAGGCCGCAAGGUGCUGACGAGUGGCGAACGGGUGAGUAAUGCAUCGGAACGUGCCCAGUCGUGGGGGAUAACGCAGCGAAAGCUGUGCUAAUACCGCAUACGAUCUAUGGAUGAAAGCGGGGGACCGUAAGGCCUCGCGCGAUUGGAGCGGCCGAUGUCAGAUUAGGUAGUUGGUGGGGUAAAGGCCCACCAAGCCAACGAUCUGUAGCUGGUCUGAGAGGACGACCAGCCACACUGGGACUGAGACACGGACCAUACACCUACGGGUGGCUGCAGCCGAGAAUAUUCGACAAUGGACGAAAGUCUGAUCGAGCGACACCGCGUGAUGGAUGUUGACCUUAGGGUCGUAAACAUC
RNAcentral lists this ribosomal RNA (384 nucleotides) under uncultured organism. RNAcentral's name for it is "bacterial SSU rRNA". It matches the Rfam family "Bacterial small subunit ribosomal RNA", at positions 45 to 433 of the family's 1533-position model. The record is from RNAcentral.